UACGAAGGGGGCUAGCGUUGCUCGGAAUCACUGGGCGUAAAGGGUGCGUAGGCGGGUCUUUAAGUCAGGGGUGAAAUCCUGGAGCUCAACUCCAGAACUGCCUUUGAUACUGAGGAUCUUGAGUUCGGGAGAGGUGAGUGGAACUGCGAGUGUAGAGGUGAAAUUCGUAGAUAUUCGCAAGAACACCGGUGGCGAAGGCGGUUGGCUGGGCCGUGGCUGACGCUGAGGCGCGACAGCGUGGGGAGCAAACAGG
This 253-nucleotide ribosomal RNA is filed under the name uncultured bacterium. RNAcentral's name for it is "partial 16S ribosomal RNA". It matches the Rfam family "Bacterial small subunit ribosomal RNA", at positions 524 to 776 of the family's 1533-position model. The record is from RNAcentral.